GCUGGGUGCAGUUGUGCAUACCUGUAAUCCCAGCAGCUCUGGAGGCUGAGACAGGAGGAUCAUGAGUUCAGCUCCAGCCUCAGUAACUUAGUGAGGCCCUAACUCAGUGAGACCUGUCUCUA
This 122-nucleotide small RNA is filed under the name Marmota monax (woodchuck). The record is from RNAcentral. Lineage: Eukaryota; Metazoa; Chordata; Mammalia; Rodentia; Sciuridae.